UAUCACUAAGUCCCUGCACGACGUGUGAUGGCAUCAGUACUCCAUUCCUCAAUGCGCACGAGAGUCACCUGGAAAGCUUUCAAAAUCUCUCUUAUGCUCCACCUCCAAACAACAGCACCAGAAUCUCCGGGGAAAGGACCCAAGCAGAGGUAUUUACGAGACGGUUCAUUGUGAUUUAGUACUAGAUGAUCUCAAAGGUCCCUUCUGACUUGGAAAUCCUCUGCAUCUAUGAAAUCUUCACCCACCGCCCCUUCCUGAGGGUUGCGGGGGACACUACGGAGGGUGCACGUAACCGGAGGGAGGCACAGACGAUGCCUCGCCAGGACCUGCUGUUCCGCUCUGGCAGUGUCUUUGUGAAAAUAGUAACUUUUUUUUUUUUUCGGACUGAUUUAUGUGACAGUUGGAAAGCAGCCCCCAGAACAGGCUGUUCCUCCCCUCGGUACUAUUAACGUAAAUAUGUGCGCAGGGCCUUCGGCUCCUGCUUCUCUCUGUGUAAACGAGGCUUAAAGGGGCCGUGAAAGCCUGAAGAGAAACCAGAGGAGAGGAAAUGUCAUUAGAGGCACAAGAAUGAAAAGGGGAAAAGGACAGGACGUUGCUAAGAGACAAUGUCAAGCUGGGCCAUGGGAUUAACAGCCGGUAUCAAAGCAAGUCCUUCUUAAUGGGUCACUGUUGUCUCUUCUCUUCCCCUUCCUCCCCCUCCUCCCUCCCCUUCCCCUUCUCCUCUUUCCUCUGUCUUUCUGUCUCAACUUGGAUUUCAGUUUACUCCAGGGUGAAAUGCACAGAAAAGCAUCAUUACAAGGUGGUCUCACCUGCAUUGUGAACCUGUGGCAGAGACCCCAAGAGGGACACCGUAAUGAGACUUUCGUAAACUACCCCGGAGUCCUGAGCUGGCUGCGUGCUCCGGUGCCUUACGAGAGGGAAAACUGUCAUUGGGAGCAGCAUCAAGGGUGGCACCCCAUGACCAUGCAGGCUCACGAAGAGGGAGCAAUGAUCCAGGUCACACAGAGUCAAGGCCAAACACUGAACCCCGAGUUCCUCAGGGCCCUUCCUGGUGACUCCUUUACAUUCAUCACACUUCGAGGAGUUCCAUACGGAAGGCCCAUUCUGGAAUGAGUGUGGUGAGGAGGGCAUCGUUCCAGUGUUUCUCAAAUGGUACCCAGCAGAUGCCUUGGCAUUAAAUCAGCCUCAUCCCCAAGACCAAGAGUGGCUGGACCUCAAAGAGCCGUUGAGGAAGCUGAGAACAAAGGCAGCUGGAGUUUGACUUUAUCCCACCCAGAUGACCCCUCUGUGAGCCUCUGGUUAUUCUAUCCUGAACGCGAGGUGAACGUGUAGAAGUCUGGGGUCAUGGCCUAGGAAGCCAAGUUCUUGUGGGACAAUAAAAAUCCGAACCAACUGCUGGCCCUGCUGGGUCCAUCUGUUAUUGGAAUUAAGUUCCCCAUUUCAUUUCAUUCAAACUGAAGAAACUUUCUGGCACGGUGUCAGGUUUCAAACAGAAAUGUCAGCCAAGGGUUCAUGAGGCCAAGGUCUGAUCAGAGCAAACUUGAAUCAAUUUACGCAUUAGGUAAAAAUUCAUAGGCAAGUUAGUGGUCUGGCGAGCCUUUCUGUUAAAAAUAUUCCUCAUUUGCAUGUUCUGGACUAAAAACCUGCAAGAAGCUGUGUAUAAAAUCAACAUCAGAGGCCAACAUGACUUCUACCCAAUGUGAGCGUACAUCUGUAGAUGAAUGUGAAGGGCCCACCAGAGUGACUUUCUUCCCCAGUAUAAGAGCAGAAAAGAACUUGAACAUAUUCUCAACUCCAGUUUAAACCUUGA
Molecule: long non-coding RNA, 1810 nt
Organism: Globicephala melas (long-finned pilot whale)
Lineage: Eukaryota; Metazoa; Chordata; Mammalia; Artiodactyla; Delphinidae
Source: RefSeq, a predicted model, not a curated record